RNAcentral lists this ribosomal RNA (415 nucleotides) under uncultured bacterium. RNAcentral's name for it is "bacterial SSU rRNA". It matches the Rfam family "Bacterial small subunit ribosomal RNA", at positions 8 to 454 of the family's 1533-position model. The record is from RNAcentral.
AGAGUUUGAUCCUGGCUCAGAACGAACGCUGGCGGCAGGCUUAACACAUGCAAGUCGAACGCCCCGCAAGGGAGUGGCAGACGGGUGAGUAACGCGUGGGAUUCUACCUAGUUCUACGGAACAACACAGGGAAACUUGUGCUAAUACCGUAUACGCCCUACGGGGGAAAGAUUUAUCGGAAUUAGAUGAGCCCGCGUAAGAUUAGCUAGUUGGUGGGGUAAUGGCCUACCAAGGCGACGAUCUUUAGCUGGUCUGAGAGGAUGAUCAGCCAUACUGGGACUGAGACACGGCCCAGACUCCUACGGGAGGCAGCGGUGGGGAAUAUUGGACAAUGGGCGCAAGCCUGAUCCAGCCAUGCCGCGUGAGUGAUGAAGGCCUUAGGGUUGUAAAGCUCUUUCAGUGGGGAAGAUAAUGU